This 426-nucleotide ribosomal RNA is filed under the name Heteroonops spinimanus. Its description in RNAcentral is "partial large subunit ribosomal RNA". Lineage: Eukaryota; Metazoa; Arthropoda; Arachnida; Araneae; Oonopidae. The record is from RNAcentral.
CUCUACUAGAUGUCUACUAGUAGUACCGCCUGCUCCAUGAAAUUUUUCAAUAGCCGCAAUUUCUGUGCUAAGGUAGCACAAUAAAUAGUCUUCUAAUUAAAGAAUAGAAUGAAAGGCAUCACGAAUUUUAAACCGUAUCUUAUCUAAAAAUAAAACUUAUAAAUUUAGUAAAAAUACUCAUUCACUUUAGAAAGACGAUAAGACCCUAAUAAACUAAAACUCAAGUUUCACUGGGGCGGUAAAUAUAACAAAAUCUUAUCAAACCAACUUCUAAAAAUUCAAAGUUACUAUAGGGAUAACAGCACAAUUUGUAUUUAAAGCUCUUAUCCAAAUACAAGAUUAUGACCUCGAUAUUGAAUUGAAACCAACUAUAAUUAAAGAAACAUUAUUAAAAGUAGGUCUGUUCGACCUUAAUACUUUCACAUG